GUGCUCCCUUCAGCACCACAAAUACUAAAAUUGAACCUAUACAGAGAAGAUUAGCAUGGCCCCUGUGCAAGGAUGACAAAUUUGUGAAGCAAUCCAUAUUUAU
Molecule: small nuclear RNA, 103 nt
Organism: Fukomys damarensis (Damara mole-rat)
Lineage: Eukaryota; Metazoa; Chordata; Mammalia; Rodentia; Bathyergidae
Source: Ensembl